Long non-coding RNA from Drosophila arizonae, 163 nucleotides. NCBI's taxonomy places the organism in Eukaryota, Metazoa, Arthropoda, Insecta, Diptera, Drosophilidae. The record is from RefSeq and is a predicted model, not a curated record.
GACAGAGAGAGAACGAGACAGCGAGACAGUGGGAAAGAACGAGCGCGUCAGAAAUGGGCGUAAGCGCGUAGAAAGCACACAGUUUAACGUAAAGAAUGAAAUGAGAAAGGCGAAGCAAGCAACAACAACUGCGAGUAAUAAGUGCGAGUACGACACUAGCAAA